Molecule: non-coding RNA, 2652 nt
Organism: Phalacrocorax carbo (great cormorant)
Lineage: Eukaryota; Metazoa; Chordata; Aves; Suliformes; Phalacrocoracidae
Source: RefSeq, a predicted model, not a curated record
CGCUCACAGAAUAAAAUUGGUGGGGGAGUUGAGAUGGUAAUUACACGGUAAGGUGAGAUAAAGUAAAUAUUUGAAAGGUGAUUCAUUUCCAGCAUAGCUGAGUGAUGCGCGAGCAUUCCUCUGGGAGAGCGUCAGCUUGGGAAAUAUUUACCUUCUCCCAUCAGGUGGAUUUGUGGGCACCGUGCACAGUAAAUGUUGAGUAAAGUAACACAGCGCUGCUUAGCAGAAGGCCAUCACGUGCCACCUCUCCCGCUUGCACCACCGCUGUUGACAGAGCGUAUUUAGAGCACGCAAGGAAGGACUUUGACCUCAAACAACUGUUAAAAAGGAAAAAGGAGGAACUUUGCCGCGACCAGCGACAUUUCCCUGGAUUCCUUCUGGCCUUGCCAAGAGCAGAAUCUGUUGUAAACUCUGCAGGAAACAGCGUUUUCCUUAUCUUGCAGAAGAUGUUUGCUCUAAUUGCCAUCUUCCUGCGGCCGAGGGGCGGUCGCUGGGGAACGGCGGGGCUCGGGCUCGGGGCUGGCCGGAGCAAAAGGCAUUUUUUGGAGGCCCUACAGACACAGCAGCAGCUCCCCAGGGCAGCUCCUCCUGCCGCAGCCGCUGCCCGCCUCUCUGUGGCACGGGAUGCUAAAGAUCUUGCUCACAGCUGCAGAAACACACCUUUUCUGUUGUCUGCGCUCCACGAUCUGGACCAGGAGCCUUCCGAUUCUUCAGGGAAUCAUCGAAGCCCAGAGAAAGGGGCACGGAAAGCAGGCAGGCGAGAUGCUGCUGCAUUGCACUGGGCGGUGCUUUGGUGUGAUGGAGCUGGAGAAGCGCGUUAUCUGCUCCUGAGGCCCCGGGACGGCGAGGCGGGUGCAGCCAAGUUGAUGCUGUUUUGUUAACUGCAGGCGAGACGUGCCCCUUGUUUCAGACGGUCGUCAGAGCAGGGCCCUUUGCUCCCCAGAUCGCUCCCUGGCCCCUCAAAAUCAAUGCGAGAAUUAUUUUCUUCUUUGCAGGAGGAGAUUUACAGCGUUUCUCAUCCCUGAGUUUCCCAUGUUCCCCUAAUUAAUGCAGCUAACGGAAGCUGUACGGCCCAUUGGCCAGCUUUUCUGUUCCCGGAGAAGUGCCUGACCUGUGAAUUGUUGCUUGACUGACACGCUGCUCCUCCUGCGAAGGAGUAGCAAGUCUCUCCAUGUUUUAAGAGGUCUGGAGAUCUUCACACGCGAGCACUGUCGGGGGGUGCCAUGGCUUUUUGUCGUGUAAUACAACCACCAGCUCUCCAGACUGCCCUGGGAAGAAAGAUUUCAUCUCUCCUUCCACCUUCCUUUCAUCCAAGAAGAGGAAGGAGGGCAGGAGGCCAGCCGAGCCCCUCCGCGCGGGUCUGGGCUGGUGAGCAGGCUCACAGCCCUGCAGCGUGAUGCUCGAGCCCCGGCUACGCUGCGGCUGGGAGGACACCUCAUUUUUGUCACCCCUAAAGAAACGGCCAGUUUAUUCCAUCUGGAAAGCUUCGGACAGUUUCAAGGCCUUUCUCUUUGCCAACGAUCCCUUUAAAAGGCCCAGAAACGGGGCGACCCAAGCGCGUGGUGCCAGCGGCAAUCCAAAGCACCCGCGUAACAACACUUCGUGCGCUCGCUUUUCAUCUUGGCUGGCCGAGCCGCUCUAAACAUCCCGAAGCCCGGAGCCUUCAAGUUACUCAUCGUAGCCUGCAGGCUUGAAAAAGGCGCUGAUUAUCUGUCUGGCGCUGUGACCCGUGCUCUCCGCCUGCUGGAGGAGCGACCCCUUGGUUUAUGCUGUCGAUAUCCAGAAUAAGGAAGUUUGUGGUCUUGCAGCUUGGGGAUUAUCGCUCUGAGAUCCUGGGAUGUGGGGCUGGGAGCAGAGCCGGGGAACGCCGCCUUCUCGAGGCACGCAAAUGUGGGUUCCCAGCGCUCCCGGUACCAGCUGCGAUGCGAAUCACUUGGAUGUUAAAGUGCUGUUGACAAAAUUGUUCCCAGCGGCACGGACGCACAGAUGCACCUCUCCCUUCCUGCUGAAAUUCAAGAGCCUUUCCUGAGCCUUGGAGAAAAAGCAAGAGGAGGUGGUGUGCUGCCAGCUGGCACCCAGAAGAACUGACCACCAAAGCCCUGGGGAAGGAGAAGUGCUGGGGUGGGAGAUCAGGGGUGGCUCCAGGAUGGCUCCAAGGAUGCAGGUGGAGAUGCAGGAGCGGAGGAGGCCUUGCCGGGACACCCCGUUGGGGACCUGCCCUCGUGCCGGCUCGGUUUGCAGGUUGGAUAUCUCUUGCCAGAAGCCAAAUUAGAUUCCAGUGCAUCGUCCUGAGUCCCUGGUGUUUGUGCUGGGGCCUGGGGCAGGGGUGCCUCCGCUCCCGGGAUGUCUCUGCACUUGCCUUGGAUGCCACGAUUUUGCCAGGUCUGCUGUGGUUAUUCUGUCGCCCCAGCACCACGACGGUGCCUGUGUUACCGGCUGCAGGAGCUGAGGUGGCUGGCAGGGAUGCGGUCGCUGCAUCAGCAGGACCCCAGGAGUGCUGGUCUGGUCCUGCUCCCAACCAGGCAUCUCUGCGGGGCCACGGACCAGUCACAGAGCAUGCACUGGAGUCCCAGUACGGCUGCGGGCACCCCACGUGUGUCCAACGUGUGUGUGCAAUGCAUGCACCCAACGGGGAGCCCAGCACGUGCCUAC